RNAcentral lists this ribosomal RNA (161 nucleotides) under uncultured bacterium. RNAcentral describes it as "partial 16S ribosomal RNA". It matches the Rfam family "Bacterial small subunit ribosomal RNA", at positions 355 to 509 of the family's 1533-position model. The record is from RNAcentral.
UAGGGAAUUUUCGUCAAUGGGCGCAAGCCUGAACGAGCGAUGCCGCGUGAGUGAAGAAGGCCUUCGGGUCGUAAAGCUCUGUUGCGGGGGAAAAAGGCAUCUGCAGGAAAUGGUAGAUGACAGAUGGUGCCCCGCCAGAAAGUCACGGCUAACUACGUGCC